This 501-nucleotide ribosomal RNA is filed under the name uncultured bacterium. RNAcentral describes it as "partial 16S ribosomal RNA". It matches the Rfam family "Bacterial small subunit ribosomal RNA", at positions 30 to 523 of the family's 1533-position model. The record is from RNAcentral.
AUUGAACGCUGGCGGCAGGCUUAACACAUGCAAGUCGAGCGGGGGAAGGUAGCUUGCUACCGGACCAAGCGGCGGACGGGUGAGUAAUGCUUAGGAAUCUGCCUAUUAGUGGGGGACAACAUCUCGAAAGGGAUGCUAAUACCGCAUACGUCCUACGGGAGAAAGCAGGGGAUCUUCGGACCUUGCGCUAAUAGAUGAGCCUAAGUCGGAUUAGCUAGUUGGUGGGGUAAAGGCCUACCAAGGCGACGAUCUGUAGCGGGUCUGAGAGGAUGAUCCGCCACACUGGGACUGAGACACGGCCCAGACUCCUACGGGAGGCAGCAGUGGGGAAUAUUGGACAAUGGGGGGAACCCUGAUCCAGCCAUGCCGCGUGUGUGAAGAAGGCCUUAUGGUUGUAAAGCACUUUAAGCGAGGAGGAGGCUACUCUAGUUAAUACCUAGGGAUAGUGGACGUUACUCGCAGAAUAAGCACCGGCUAACUCUGUGCCAGCCGCCGCGGUAA